GAUGAACGCUAGCGGCAGGCCUAACACAUGCAAGUCGAGGGGUAACAGAAAAGCUUGCUUUUGCUGACGACCGGCGCACGGGUGCGUAACGCGUAUGCAACCUACCUCAUACUGGAGGAUAGCCCCUGGAAACGGGGAUUAAUACUCCAUAGUAUCACAAUUUCGCAUGUUAUUGUGAUUAAAGUUAUUCGGUAUGAGAUGGGCAUGCGUCCCAUUAGCUUGUUGGUGAGGUAACGGCUCACCAAGGCAACGAUGGGUAGGGGGCCUGAGAGGGUGGUCCCCCACACUGGUACUGAGACACGGACCAGACUCCUACGGGAGGCAGCAGUGAGGAAUAUUGGUCAAUGGAGGAAACUCUGAACCAGCCAUGCCGCGUGAAGGAUGACGGCCCUAUGGGUUGUAAACUUCUUUUAUAGAGGAAGAAACUUGUCUACGUGUAGACAACUGACGGUACUCUACGAAUAAGGAUCGGCUAACUCCGUGCCAGA
Molecule: ribosomal RNA, 488 nt
Filed under: uncultured bacterium
Lineage: Bacteria
Description: bacterial SSU rRNA
Rfam family: Bacterial small subunit ribosomal RNA
Source: RNAcentral